UCAGGAUGAACGCUGGCGGCGUGCCUAACACAUGCAAGUCGAACGGAAACUAAGCGCUCGAGACUUCGGUCAAUGUUGCUUGGUUUAGUGGCGGACGGGUGAGUAACGCGUGGAUAACCUGCCUCAUACAGGGGGAUAACAGUUAGAAAUGACUGCUAAUACCGCAUAAGCGCACAGUUUCGCAUGGAACAGUGUGAAAAAACUCCGGUGGUAUGAGAUGGAUCCGCGUCUGAUUAGCUAGUUGGCGGGGUAACGAGCCCACCAAGGCGACGAUCAGUAGCCGGCCUGAGAGGGUGAACGGCCACAUUGGGACUGGGACACGGCCCAAACUCCUACGGGAGGCAGCAGUGGGGGAUAUUGCACAAUGGGGGAAACCCUGAUGCAAGCGACGCCGCGUGAGUGAAGAAGUAUUUCGGUAUGUAAAGCUCUAUCAGCAGGGAAGAUAAUGACGGUACCUGACUAAGAAGCACCGGCUAAAUACGUGCCAGCCGCCGC
RNAcentral lists this ribosomal RNA (495 nucleotides) under uncultured bacterium. RNAcentral describes it as "bacterial SSU rRNA". It matches the Rfam family "Bacterial small subunit ribosomal RNA", at positions 24 to 518 of the family's 1533-position model. The record is from RNAcentral.